Molecule: long non-coding RNA, 306 nt
Filed under: Gossypium raimondii (Peruvian cotton)
Lineage: Eukaryota; Viridiplantae; Streptophyta; Magnoliopsida; Malvales; Malvaceae
Description: long non-coding RNA (GRAI_LNC009317)
Source: RNAcentral
AUUUUUUUCUAGAAAGUUUGGGCACUAAACUCAACCCGCUGAAUAUUUUUUUUUUAAUUUUUAUUGGAUUUCAUCUUUUUCAAUUUUUUUGACUUUUUUGACUGAUUUUUUUGUGGGAAAUAUUUUUUAAUAUUCAAUCGCAGUGCCACAAAUAUACAUGUCAAAUUUUAGAUCAAUCGGAAAAAUUUUACCCACUCGAAUGAAUUAUUUUCCAAAAAAUUUUCUGGGUAAAACUGCAGUUUGUUGUUUAAAAAAAAGAGAUCAGUUUAAAAAUCAACCAAGAAUACCCAAAACGCCCAAAAUCUG